GUGCCUCCUGACUGCUUAUUGCACCACAUGUGUUUUUCUUUGAAACAAACUUGCUUUGGCGGUGGGCCCAGCCUGCCGCCAGAGGUCUAAACUUACAACCAAUUUUUUAUCAACUUGUCACACCAGAUUAUUACUUAAUAGUCAAAACUUUCAACAACGGAUCUCUUGGUUCUCGCAUCGAUGAAGAACGCAGCGAAAUGCGAUACGUAAUAUGAAUUGCAGAUAUUCGUGAAUCAUCGAAUCUUUGAACGCACAUUGCGCCCUCUGGUAUUCCGGAGGGCAUGCCUGUUUGAGCGUCGUUUCUCCCUCAAACCGCUGGGUUUGGUGUUGAGCAAUACGACUUGGGUUUGCUUGAAAGACGGUAGUGGUAAGGCGGGAUCGCUUUGACAAUGGCUUAGGUCUAACCAAAAACAUUGCUUGCGGCGGUAACGUCCACCACGUAUAUCUUCAAACUUUGACCUCAAAUCAGGUAGGACUACCCGCUGAACUUAAGCAUAUCAAAAGCGGAGGA
Molecule: ribosomal RNA, 511 nt
Filed under: Candida albicans
Lineage: Eukaryota; Fungi; Ascomycota; Pichiomycetes; Serinales; Debaryomycetaceae
Description: eukaryotic LSU rRNA
Rfam family: 5.8S ribosomal RNA (bases 146-299)
Source: RNAcentral